GCCACUUGAGCUUAGUGGUAGAGGCUCUACCGUAGAGCGUCUGCUUCGUAAGCGAAGGUCGUCAGUUCAAUCCUGGCAAGUGGCU
This 85-nucleotide transfer RNA is filed under the name Perkinsus olseni. RNAcentral's name for it is "tRNA-Thr". It matches the Rfam family "tRNA". From Rfam's summary of the family: Transfer RNA (tRNA) molecules are approximately 80 nucleotides in length. Their secondary structure includes four short double-helical elements and three loops (D, anti-codon, and T loops). Lineage: Eukaryota; Perkinsozoa; Perkinsida; Perkinsidae. The record is from RNAcentral.